Pantherophis guttatus is the source of this 2589-nucleotide non-coding RNA. NCBI's taxonomy places the organism in Eukaryota, Metazoa, Chordata, Lepidosauria, Squamata, Colubridae. The record is from RefSeq and is a predicted model, not a curated record.
GCUGAGCCGCAGGGGGCGCAUGUAGGGCGGCCGGAGCGACGGCCCCUCGACGGGCGGCCGAGCGAGUCAGCGACCUCCGCGGCAGGCUGAAGGAAGAUCUGGGCACUUGGGAGUGGUCCCAUUCCGGUCGAUUGCAGGCCUUCGAAGAGCCACCGAGGCGAAUGUUAAGCAGCCGAGAAAUCGGGAAGAAGGCGCAUGGAAAGCGACGCCGGGGAGAGUGUCCCAGUGGCCAAGCCAGAUCCGUGUGUGUGUGUGAGUGAGCACGCUUUUGUACAGAAGACGACGGAGACGGAGAAGACGGAGAAGGCGACCGAGGCAGAAGGCCACUCCACAACCACCAUUGCGCACGCGUGUGCGUGGUGUGCUUGUAUCUUGUGUACAGCGGAAGCCCAAGUGGCACGGGAGUCGCUGGGUUUGGGGGUGGGGGAUGGGGGAGCCAUUCCUUGCAGUAGCUUCAGCUGCACGGCGGGGUUUGCCCACCUCGGUCAUCGAGUGGGGAUCCUCCUGGGAUUGGUCUCCAUGGGAGCCACUCAACCCCUUCCUGCCUGGCACCUGCCAAUCACGGGGUCAGGGUUUUCGCAGCCUUGCAGAGAGGCAGCCUAGGGGCGGGGGGUGUAUUAUAUCUCUCUCUACAUAGGGGUGGGGUGGGGUGUAUAUGUAUAUAGGUCUCUCUCUUGUCCGAAGGGCCAAAUCCGGACCCUUGCGAUCUCUUUCGCUAUUUUGAUUCGGAGAGCUGAGCAGGGCUGUCUCCGUGGUGCUAUUCUGGCUCUUUGAAACCAAACCAAACCAGGUUUUCUACAUUGUCCUAACCACCUUCUUAGCAUCUUAGCUACUGAAGGGGGUGGGUGGGCACGUAGGGAGGGGGUUUUCUCUGGGCAGUUCAGUCCUGCCUGCCUAGGAGAUGUCGCCUUUGCACAAACGCAGGCAUUGGACGAGGCCGCGAAGACCUUAAUCUCCCAAUAAGAGGUAGUGCUCGACUUACAACCAGUGGCUUCGUGACAAUAGUGGUUUAUGACCGGUUUUCCACACUUUAGGACCGUUCCAGCAUUCCCAAGUUGGGCACUUGGCAACUGGCAUUAUUUAUUAUUUUUAUUUUAUUUUAUUAAAUUUCUAUACCGCCCUUCUCCCGAAGGACUCAGGGUGGUGAAUAGCCAAAAGAUAAAACACAGAGAUACAAAAUUUAAAACAGAUUAAAACAGAUUAAACAAUUUGGCUAAAUUUUAAAAAUAUCCCAUAAUUAAACAAAUUAAAAUUAGUGUUUAAAAUUUAAAUUUUAAAAUUUUAAAAGGGAGAAGAUUUAGGCCAGGCUAGCUUGAUGAAAUGUACUUAGGACGGUUGCACUUGUCCGAGGGGUGGUGUGAUCACCAUUUGUAAACCUUCCAAGAAGCAAAUUCGGGGGAGGGAAGACGGAUUCAUUUAACGACCACAUGAUUCACUUAACAACUGCAUCGAUUUGCUUAAUAAUUGAGGCCACAGGAAGGCCGGCAAAGCUCACCUAACAACCGCCUUGCUUAGCGACGGGAAAAUUUGGGCUCAGGUUGUGGCCGUAAGCCGAGGACUAGCUGUAACAGGUGGUCCUUUGACUUGCAGCAGUUCACUUAGUGACCGUUCAAAGUUACAACGGUGUGGGGGAAAAAGUGGGUUGUGACCGUUUUCACACUUACGACCGUUGCAGCAGCCAUGGUCAAGUGAUCCAAAUUCAGCCACUUUGGCAACUGCUUCCUAUUUUAUGACAGGGAUCGCGCCUUCCGACGUGCAAAGUCAACGGGGGAAGCCAGAUUCGCUUCCGAACCGUGUGACCCAUUUAACAAAGGCAGCAAUUCGCUUUAACAAAAGUGGCAAGAAAAAGUUGUAAAACGGGGCAAAACUCACAAAGUCCUCCGACAUAAAUUCUGGGCUCAAUUGUGGUUGUAAGUCGAGUACCUUACCUGCCUUCAAAAUCAGACCAGAAUAGGUUUUAGCACUAAAAAAAUAAAAUAAAACAAUAUUAGUGCUCUAAAGGGCUUCCUAUUCAAACUUGACUGUAGAUGAACAGGGAGACCGAGCCAAUAAUGUUGAUUUCUAGAAAACCUGGGCUAUCCAGAUAGAAAUUGGCUACCAAGAAUAAUAUAACAUGCUGGUCUUCAAUUGUGCCUCCCUCUCCCUGUUUUGCUUGGAUUUUGCAACACUAGAGGAACAAAUAUUUGCUGAUAAUUGCAAAAACAUCCUUUUCAGCUUCAAAUCUGUAGAUAGUCAAAGGGCGGGGUGGGGGUGGAGAGCUUUUCCUCCGUUUCGAUGCAUGGGGAAGAUUACGCUGGAACUUGUAACUGUAGACAUAACGGUGUCCUUUCUUUCACGUUCCAUUAACGCAAAGCUGAAAAGGGGAACCCCCCUUAAGGGGUUGAAUGUACCUCUGCCUCGGCCCCCAUUGCUGUGUGAGUUGGAUCCUCAUUCGUGAUGAACAGAACUCUUUUUUAGCAUGCGAAGAACGCCUAGAGAUCAUGUAGUCCACCCCCCCUACCCUUCUUCAAAUGAGACCUACAGUGCAAAAUACAACUCCAGUUUCACCAAUAAAUUUCGGUCAGCCUCAGCUGAAAGCCCUCCCCCUCA